RNAcentral lists this ribosomal RNA (244 nucleotides) under uncultured bacterium. RNAcentral's name for it is "partial 16S ribosomal RNA". It matches the Rfam family "Bacterial small subunit ribosomal RNA", at positions 92 to 334 of the family's 1533-position model. The record is from RNAcentral.
CGACCGGCGCACGGGUGAGUAACACGUAUCCAACCUGCCGUCUACUCUUGGCCAGCCUUCUGAAAGGAAGAUUAAUCCAGGAUGGGAUCAUGAGUUCACAUGUCCGCAUGAUUAAAGGUAUUUUCCGGUAGACGAUGGGGAUGCGUUCCAUUAGAUAGUAGGCGGGGUAACGGCCCACCUAGUCAACGAUGGAUAGGGGUUCUGAGAGGAAGGUCCCCCACAUUGGAACCGAGACACGGUCCAA